AAACGUAGGAGGCAAGCGUUAUCCGGAUUUAUUGGGCGUAAAGCGCGUGCAGGCGGCUUGGUAAGUUGGAUGUGAAAGCUCCUGGCUUAACUAGGAGAGGUCGUUCAAUACUAUCAAGCUAGAGAAUGGGAGAGGGAAGUGGAAUUCCGGGUGUAGUGGUGAAAUGCGUAGAUAUCCGGAGGAACACCAGUGGCGAAAGCGGCUUCCUGGACCAUUUCUGACGCUAAGACGCGAAAGCUAGGGGAGCGAACGGGAUUAGAGACCCCGGUAGUCCUAGCUGUAAACGAUGUAGACUUGGCGUUGGCGGAGUUAAAUCUGCCAGUGCCGGAGCUAACGCGUUAAGUCUACCGCCUGGGGACUACGACCGCAAGGUUAAA
This 377-nucleotide ribosomal RNA is filed under the name uncultured bacterium. RNAcentral describes it as "bacterial SSU rRNA". It matches the Rfam family "Bacterial small subunit ribosomal RNA", at positions 523 to 898 of the family's 1533-position model. The record is from RNAcentral.